Molecule: ribosomal RNA, 774 nt
Filed under: Triticum aestivum (bread wheat)
Lineage: Eukaryota; Viridiplantae; Streptophyta; Magnoliopsida; Poales; Poaceae
Description: partial small subunit ribosomal RNA
Source: RNAcentral
AUGGCGGACCAUUUCGCGGUGAUGGCGGGCCGGCUGCUCACGGCGUCCACGGUGCAGUCUGCCAUCGACGAGGCCUCCAAUGCUGCUUCGUCUUCGGCGCCGACGUGUCGUGAAAAGGCCGUCGUCGUUGAAGACGGUGGCGGCAGGCCGAAGAGUGGCGUGCUGGUGGAAUGCAGGAUCUGCCAGGAGGACGGCGACGAGACAUGCAUGGAGGCCCCUUGCUCCUGCAAGGGCAGCUUGAAGUAUGCUCACCGGACAUGCGUCCAGAGGUGGUGCGACGAGAAGGGGGACACCAUAUGUGAGAUAUGCUUGCAGCAAUUCACACCAAACUACAAGGCGCCUUCCAAGUUGUUUCAGCAGGGAAGAAACUCCAUUUUCUUCAGAACCCCUGCGUACAUCCAAGCACAGGCCCGGAGCUCUUCCACAUCGACAAGCUACGAGUACGAUCGCCAAGCUUCCACCCCAAAGGCUGUAAUCUGUUGCCGCAUAAUUGCUAUAACUCUGAUGCUUCUCCUGGUGCUCCAUGACGCCAUCUCGGUCUACCUCGGCGAUCAAGGCGUCUACACCGUCGCUCUUGUCACCCUGCUGAUGCUUAGAACUGCUGGAAUUGUGAUACCGGUCUACAUCAUCUUGGUCGCGGUGACCGAAGUGCUUUAUCGACGCAGCGAGUGGCGGGCUAUGCAUGGUCAGGUUUCAGAACCAGAAGCCACAGGGAGCACGCAGCCGGUGCCAAUUCCGCCGCAGCAACAGCGUGUGGUUAUCACCAUCCAGUAG